This 497-nucleotide ribosomal RNA is filed under the name uncultured bacterium. Its description in RNAcentral is "partial 16S ribosomal RNA". It matches the Rfam family "Bacterial small subunit ribosomal RNA", at positions 28 to 507 of the family's 1533-position model. The record is from RNAcentral.
GACGAACGCUGGCGGCGUGCCUAAUACAUGCAAGUUGAGCGAUGAAGAUUGGUGCUUGCACCAAUUUGAAGAGCAGCGAACGGGUGAGUAACGCGUGGGGAAUCUGCCUUUGAGCGGGGGACAACAUUUGGAAACGAAUGCUAAUACCGCAUAACAACUUUAAACAUAAGUUUUAAGUUUGAAAGAUGCAAUUGCAUCACUCAAAGAUGAUCCCGCGUUGUAUUAGCUAGUUGGUGAGGUAAAGGCUCACCAAGGCGAUGAUACAUAACCGACCUGAGAGGGUGAUCGGCCACAUUGGGACUGAGACACGGCCCAAACUCCUACGGGAGGCAGCAGUAGGGAAUCUUCGGCCAUGGACGAAAGUCUGACCGAGCAACGCCGCGUGAGUGAAGAAGGUUUUCGGAUCGUAAAACUCUGUUGGUAGAGAAGAACGUUGGUGAGAGUGGAAAGCUCAUCAAGUGACGGUAACUACCCAGAAAGGGACGGCUAACUACGUG